Molecule: small RNA, 18 nt
Filed under: Arabidopsis thaliana (thale cress)
Lineage: Eukaryota; Viridiplantae; Streptophyta; Magnoliopsida; Brassicales; Brassicaceae
Description: ATSL304390
Source: RNAcentral
UGUUCGGUUUGGUUUAUA